Molecule: ribosomal RNA, 496 nt
Filed under: uncultured bacterium
Lineage: Bacteria
Description: partial 16S ribosomal RNA
Rfam family: Bacterial small subunit ribosomal RNA
Source: RNAcentral
GAUGAACGCUGGCGGCGUGCCUAAUACAUGCAAGUCGAGCGAACGGACGAGAAGCUUGCUUCUCUGAUGUUAGCGGCGGACGGGUGAGUAACACGUGGAUAACCUACCUAUAAGACUGGGAUAACUUCGGGAAACCGGAGCUAAUACCGGAUAAUAUUUUGAACCGCAUGGUUCAAAAGUGAAAGACGGUCUUGCUGUCACUUAUAGAUGGAUCCGCGCUGCAUUAGCUAGUUGGUAAGGUAACGGCUUACCAAGGCAACGAUGCAUAGCCGACCUGAGAGGGGUACGGGCCCACCUGGAACGGAGACACGGGCCAAACCCCCAGGGGGGGAAGGCGUGGGGAAUCUUCCGAAAUGGGGGAAAGCCUGACGGGGCAACGCCGCGUGGGUGAUGAAGGUCUUCGGAUUGUAAAACCUUGUUAUUGGGGAAGAAAAAUUGUGUAAGAAACGGGCCACAUUUUGACGGUACCUAAUCAAAAAGCCACGGCUAACUACGG